This 631-nucleotide ribosomal RNA is filed under the name uncultured Actinomycetes bacterium. RNAcentral describes it as "bacterial SSU rRNA". It matches the Rfam family "Bacterial small subunit ribosomal RNA", at positions 63 to 707 of the family's 1533-position model. Lineage: Bacteria; Bacillati; Actinomycetota; Actinomycetes. The record is from RNAcentral.
CGAGAUCCAAUGUGUAGCAAUACACAGGAAGAUCUAGUGGCGAACGGGUGAGGAACACGUGAGAAACGUACCCCAGACUUUGGGAUAACAGUUCGAAAGGACUGCUAAUACCAAAUAACGUCGGAAGUCCGCAUGGACAUCUGACGAAAGGGAUUCCGGUUUGGGAGCGUCUCGCGGACCUAUCAGCUAGUUGGAGGGGUAACGGCCCACCAAGGCAACGACGGGUAGCUGGUCUGAGAGGAUGGUCAGCCACACUGGGACUGAGACACGGCCCAGACUCCUACGGGAGGCAGCAGUGGGGAAUCUUGCGCAAUGGGCGAAAGCCUGACGCAGCAACGCCGCGUGCGGGAAGAAGGCUUUCGGGCUGUAAACCGCUUUCAGUAGGAACGAAACUGACGGUACCUACAGAAGAAGGAGCGGCCAACUAUGUGCCAGCAGCCGCGGUGACACAUAGGCUCCAAGCGUUGUCCGGAUUUAUUGGGCGUAAAGAGCUCGUAGGCGGUCGAGUAAGUCGGGUGUGAAAACUUUGGGCUUAACCCAAAGAUGCCACUCGAUACUGUUCGACUUGAGUUUGGUAGGGGAGUGGGGAAUUCCUUGUGUAGCGGUGAAAUGCGCAGAUAUAAGGAGGAAC